RNAcentral lists this long non-coding RNA (820 nucleotides) under Anser cygnoides (Swan goose). RNAcentral describes it as "lncRNA (ENSACDG00005011192.1)". Lineage: Eukaryota; Metazoa; Chordata; Aves; Anseriformes; Anatidae. The record is from RNAcentral.
UACUGAUUAUAGUCUGAUAGCAACAAGUAGAAAUUUACAUUUGGCAUCAAUUGCCCUCAGUGCUAACUAGGAACAGAAGCCACAAAACUGGGAAGCUAGCAGCGAUAAAUUUACAACCUUGACAAAGAGAGAAAUAUGAAGAUGAAGCUAAUGGUUUCGAGCUCUCUCAGUCCAGAGGCAGUCAUCCUGUUGUUGAAGUAACAUCUUUUUACCUUUCUCAGGAUGAAAUAGCUAAAAUUCAUUUUAUCAGCUGAGAGAGGGGAAAAUAUGACACACAGACUGCCUGGUUAUAGGACUGUCAUGCUGUGGAGUCCCAUCUGCCCUUCCCAAUAAAUGUGAGCAAAUUACCCCAUUUCUUUGCUGGUUCCCUGGUUGCGGGCUGCAAGACAGUCCUGCCUUCUCAUGUAAUCAGAGCAGUAAACUGCUUUCAGCUCUGUCAGACACCAAAACCUUCCCCAUGUCCCUCAUCUGUAGGACUUUACGAAUUGCACCCAAGCAGCAAGUGCUUUGAGCUCAUGCCCAUUUCCUCUAGGAACCUAGAGGAGUCUAGAACUAGUGAGAACCCAGGCGUCCUGUCUGCUCUGCUGUGUUUUUGCUGUGCAAGACAUCUCUGUUCUCUUCUAAAGAGCCCAGUGCACGGGAACUAAACCUGCAAUGGCCCCAACCUGAUCCUGAGGAUCAGGCACAAAUCCAGGGUCACAACGGUGCCUCACCACCAGUGUUUGCUUCCUUCUUGAAUCCAUACAGCGAGUCAGCCCUGGCUAGGUAAGUACAGUCAGGGAAAUAGCACAGUGCCUGAGAUGCAUCCCGGUUUCAUAUA